Molecule: small RNA, 773 nt
Filed under: Pongo abelii (Sumatran orangutan)
Lineage: Eukaryota; Metazoa; Chordata; Mammalia; Primates; Hominidae
Description: processed transcript
Source: RNAcentral
CAAAUGCCAGUCUUCUUGGAGGAGGAGGUGUGGAUGGCUGUAUUCAUAGAGCAGCCGGCCCCUGUUUGCUAGCUGAAUGUCGUAACCUGAAUGGCUGUGAUACUGGACAUGCAAAAAUCACAUGUGGCUAUGACCUGCCUGCAAAAUCAAAUUUGGAUGCCAGAAAGCUAUUGAAACUGAAUCGUCUCCUACACCUGAAGAGAUCUAUUACUUCAAUCACUCCACCGAAAAAUCCACCAAAGAUUAAACACGCUGUUAUCAGUCCUGGAGCCUGAGUACACUGUGAUGGCUUCAUGUUGUCAGCUGCGUUUUCUCAUGCCCUACACUGCAGACUGAAAAAGGAUGCUCCACAGCCAGCCUUAACACCACGCACCAAGCCUGCCACAGGCAUCCUCUCUUCUACUCCAAGCUGCUGAGGGACAGGAAAUGGAGGUGCUGAGCUAUGAGGCUUGCAGGGUUUGUCUGCACUGCAUUCAGCUUGCCAGUCCCCAGGAGAGCUGGCAUGCUGCUUCAGAUCCAGGAAGAAAAGGAGAGUGCCAAUCAGAUAUAUACACUUCUGUAAAUCUCCAGUUAGUUUCAGAGCUGUCAUUUGCUUGUAGAAAUUUUAUGGUGUUUACAUGACUGACCCAGACAGCAAGAGCUAGUGAUGCCCCUCUGUUGUAACUACAUGGCCAGAGGGACAUGCAACCCAAUUAAAUAAAAGUAAUUUUAAGCACACAUCCUGAUUUGGAGAAGCAUUUGGACAAUAACAUAGUGUCAGUGUGAGUCACUUA